RNAcentral lists this transfer RNA (73 nucleotides) under Sporisorium reilianum SRZ2. RNAcentral describes it as "tRNA-Lys (CTT) (tRNA-Lys-CTT-2-1)". It matches the Rfam family "tRNA". Rfam says of the family: Transfer RNA (tRNA) molecules are approximately 80 nucleotides in length. Lineage: Eukaryota; Fungi; Basidiomycota; Ustilaginomycetes; Ustilaginales; Ustilaginaceae. The record is from RNAcentral.
UCCCGGCUAGCUCAGUCGGUAGAGCGUCGGACUCUUAAUCUGAAUGUCGUGGGUUCGAGCCCCACGUUGGGAG